Molecule: long non-coding RNA, 375 nt
Filed under: Rattus norvegicus (Norway rat)
Lineage: Eukaryota; Metazoa; Chordata; Mammalia; Rodentia; Muridae
Description: long non-coding RNA NONRATT029080
Source: RNAcentral
AGCCUAGAAAAAACAAGUCACUUCAGACACAGAAGCUUAAAAAUGAAAGUUUUAUUUUCUGAACACAUAAGGAAGGCAGGAAAUUCAGGAUCUGAACCCCAUCCCCAAAUGGAGAUUUUAUAACAUUUUUAAUAACAUUUUAUAACAUUUUUUAUAGGAUGGGAACAAAAAGCAAAGGGAGCAGGUAGGCUGUUGCAUUGAAUACUUAACGUUGGUGACUGGGUCUUAUCUGGGUCACCUUGUUUUGAGAUCCUUGAGUCGGCUUUUGCAGCCACAUCCCUCCUGGACUCUGCUCUGGAAUUUUGGAAUAAGGGAACAAAGCCUGGCCAAGCUGCACACAGUCAAUUAAGUCAGGACAGGCAGCACAUUCAAGAC